GAGCACGUAGGUGGGUUUGUAAGUCAGAUGUGAAAGCCUUCUGUUCAACGGAAGAAUUGCAUCUGAAACUACAAACCUUGAGUGUAGGAGGGGAGAAUGGAACUUCUGGUGGAGCGGUGAAAUGCGUAGAUAUCAGAAGGAACGCCGGCGGCAAAAGCGAUUCUCUGGCCUAUUACUGACACUGAGUGUGCGAAAGCUAGGGGAGCAAACGGGAUUAGAUACCCCGGUAGUCCUAGCCGUAAACGAUGGGCACUAAGUAGAGGGGU
Molecule: ribosomal RNA, 266 nt
Filed under: uncultured Planctomycetota bacterium
Lineage: Bacteria; Pseudomonadati; Planctomycetota
Description: uncultured planctomycete partial 16S ribosomal RNA
Rfam family: Bacterial small subunit ribosomal RNA
Source: RNAcentral